Ipomoea triloba (trilobed morning glory) is the source of this 1311-nucleotide long non-coding RNA. RefSeq lists it as uncharacterized. The transcript has 4 exons. Lineage: Eukaryota; Viridiplantae; Streptophyta; Magnoliopsida; Solanales; Convolvulaceae. The record is from RefSeq and is a predicted model, not a curated record.
GGAAGAAACCCAUUCCCAAGUCCCAACCAGUAACCACCAUAAUUUGAUGAUUUGAUCCAACCCUCCAAAUAGAAUGUUUUCAGACUUAGUCCAUCACUAUUUCCUCUAUGAAUUGAAUUUUAGUUUUGGAAAGGACCUAUGGAUUUCUAAAAGUCUGAGCAUGGCGGAGGAACACAACUACCCGAAAGUCACCGCCCAUGCGCCAACUAUUACAGCUUUUUCGAAAGCCCCGCGACGUAGAAUUACUGCUCCAAAUGCUACCGGGACAUCUGCCUCAAGGGCUCCCAAUCGAAACCCAAUACUCCGGUGGAUUCCAUGUUCGCCACGUAUGGCGUCAGCACCGUUAGAGAAUUUGAAGGGAAGAAUGGUCGCGGCGCCGGUGCAGUAACAACCACAAACAGUCAAUGAAUCGAUGCUCGAAUUGCCGGAAGAAGGUUGGGUUGACUAGAUUUCGGUGUUGGUGCGGGGUCAUUUUCUGUGGGGUUCACAAAUACCCCGAGACUCACGGAAGGACCAUAAGUGGUUAGAAACCAAAAGUAAGAGGAUUAGGGGUAGAUUUAAAAGUUGAGGACUAAAAGUGGCGGUGCCAUCAAAGUCGGAGGACCUUCGUCGGACAAAUCUUCAAACUCUUUUUUACCCCAACCUAUCGCGCUAAUGCUAAACCUACGGAGUCAGUGAUCUCCAUCCUCAACCGAUUUGUACACUGAUAAAGUGAUCUCCAUCCUCAACCAAGUCAUUGCCAUCUUCAAUCUAAAGCUAUGGAGUUAGACAUCCACAUCUUCAACCGAAAGAUAUACUGCACAUUUUCUCAUACUUGUCUAGGGAUCUGAACUUUCUCGAGCACACAAGUAACAUUGGUUCGAAGGAGUAUCAUCGGGCGAGGCCUAUAAUCAUAGAUCCUGGCUUAUAUCAUUCUAAGAAAUCUGGUGUAUUUUGGGCCAAGGAGACGAGGUCAUUGCCUGCUUCUUUUAUGCUCUUCAUGGGUACUUACUAUUUUCUUCGACUCCUCCUUGAUCAGAUCUUCUAAAUUGUGGGCGAGAUGUAGCUUUUAAUUGCCUUUUCCACAUACUAUUAAUUAGAUCGUUAUUAGUCGAUAUCUUGCAAGAACUGGUUUUGGAUUUAAGAUAUGAUAUGUAGCUCCUAUCUGGUUUGGUUUGGUUUGGUGUUUUGUGUUAGAAGGAAAUAGGAGAGCAUAUUGAGGAAAAAGUAAGAUAGCUUCAGAACUCUACAGAAUUACAUAAUCAUUUGGGAGAAAAGACCCAAAGACUCAAUUUUUGAGUCUUGCAAAUAUUAAAUCUUUCUUUGUGUGUA